AACGCAUAUGGCGCCCGCUAGUAUUCUAGCGGGCAUGCCUGUUCGAGCGUCAUUUCAACCCUUAAGCCCUGUUGCUUAGUGUUGGGAAUCUAGGCCUUCCGGGCCUAGUUCCUCAAAGUCAUUGGCGGAGUUAGGGUAUACUCUGAGCGUAGUAGUGUUCUUCUCGCUUUUGCAGUAGCCCUGGCGGCUGGCCGUAAAACCCCUAUAUCUUUUAGUGGUUGACCUCGAAUCAGGUAAGAGUACCCGCUGAACUUAA
Molecule: unclassified non-coding RNA, 256 nt
Filed under: uncultured Xylariales
Lineage: Eukaryota; Fungi; Ascomycota; Sordariomycetes; Xylariales
Description: sequence contains 5.8S rRNA gene, ITS2, 28S rRNA gene
Source: RNAcentral